AGGGGGCGGGCAGCAGCGGGGAAUCCCCGGAUUGUUCUAAGAGGGUUCUUGAGGGGAGAAAGGAACGAAAACCUGGAGGGAAGCAGCCCCCAGAGUCGGACCACCCGGACCCCACAGAAAAGUCUCCCCUGAGUGGGGUCUCCUGUCGCUGUCGGGACAGUGAUCGGGGAUCAGGAUCGGAGAGGACAGGGCGGUUUCGCCCACGCCUGUUGGUGCGCUCCGCAGGCGGGGCCUCCGGGGCCAGUGUUCCUUAACCCCACCGCGCCCGGACCGAAAUCAACAGUAACUGGCGCUCUGGACAUGGCUGCGCUCUAAGCUGGGGACCUGAAGACCCCUUCACACCCGGACCCUGCCCUCGAGGUGCUCAAGAUCUGUGACGGGAGGCAACACAGACACAAGGCAGACAACAUAUGACAGAGAGAUAAGAAAGCACGGAGGAGAAAGGGACUGAAGGGACGAGGCCCUGCUUUGCGGAGGUGAUGCGUUGGGUCGCGAGGGAUGCUAUAGGAAUUGGCCAGGAGGAGAGAAAAGAGGAUUCCAGGCAGCGGGAAGAACAAAUGCAGUUCAAAAACUUCCAGCAGAUUUGAGCCUGGAAGAACAAGAGGCAGGACCGCCCUUGUGGGAAGAAAGGUUUAGGGGUCCAGUUCGUCGCAGAAAAUUUAUGACCCUGAGAGUAAAGGGAUGCAGCGGAUUCAUCUAGCAACCCCUGGCCCAGAGGAGAGAAGAAGGUUGUCUCAGAUUUCACAGGACUGGAUGGCCGAGCUGGCCAGCAACCCAGUAUCCUGACUCAGGGCUCAACCGGUGACUCUAUUUGGGCGGCCUCUGGAGGAGCAGCAGCGUUUCCUGCAGAUGUGCUCAAGAGAAAACCAAGCACAGCCCAAGAAGAAGCUUCCUCCUACGGUUCUCAACCUCCCUCCCCGCAGCAGACAGGCCACACCUCACCCCUCUGUAGAGUGGGUCCAGGCUCAGUGAAGGCAGGUGGCUGUGAAAUUCCCAAGGUUUUAGGAUGCUGGCCUAUGUGAAAAGCAGCUGAUCCAAUGUGAUGCAGUUUGAGGACAAUGAGUGAAAAGGUACCUGACCCAGCUACAGUGUAACUCAUGCAGACCUGGAACCCACAGCCCAGGCUCAGAACGCUUGGUUCUACCGCUUCGCGACGUUUCCUGGCCGGUACAAACUCACUACGGUUCCCAAACUCCAUCUCCCAACAUGACCUGGGCACUUCUUCUGCAACUCUGGCUCUUGGACUUCUGGGAAAUGUAGUUUUCACAGCGCUCCAACUCCACAGAGGUUCUAGCGGAGAACUAAGGCUCCCGUAAGGCAGUGCGUGGGCCGUUCGCUGCGGCCGCCAUGUUUGCCCUGAAGGGUGCCAGAAUCGGCCCUCGCGGGUUAGCGCAACCGUGACCAACUAUAGCCACGGAUAUAGCCAACUAUAUCCGGGAAGAGGAGCAUCGCGACCGUGCUGUGCCUCCCUCUGCCACUGCUUAGAUCUCUGCUGCUCUGGGGUUGUGGAGACGUCUCAACAGAAGCGGAGCUGACAGGGCCCCGGGAAGCCAUGGUGACAGAGCAGCCACAACCUCUGGGGGACUUGGGGUCAACAUCAACCAGCCCGCUGCCCGAGGGCCAUUGGGCGGGCCUGACGGGAAGCGCAGGCGCAAAUGCAGGGCCUCGAGGCGUCUGUAAACACCCAAGAGCGCCUGCGCAAACGGAGUGUUUCGGGAUGGCCACGUGGGGGCGCCCUAGCGAAGAUAACAGUUAAUAAAUAGUAACGUAACGGCCCUGUUA
Camelus dromedarius (Arabian camel) is the source of this 1782-nucleotide long non-coding RNA. RefSeq lists it as uncharacterized. Lineage: Eukaryota; Metazoa; Chordata; Mammalia; Artiodactyla; Camelidae. The record is from RefSeq and is a predicted model, not a curated record. The transcript has 4 exons.